GGGUUGUGAGGUUAAGCGACUAAGCGUACACGGUGGAUGCCCUGGCAGUCAGAGGCGAUGAAGGACGUGCUAAUCUGCGAAAAGCGUCGGUAAGGUGAUAUGAACCGUUAUAACCGGCGAUGUCCGAAUGGGGAAACCCAGUGCAAUUCGUUGCACUAUCGUUAACUGAAUACAUAGGUUAACGAGGCGAACCGGGGGAACUGAAACAUCUAAGUACCCCGAGGAAAAGAAAUCAACCGAGAUUCCCCCAGUAGCGGCGAGCGAACGGGGAGCAGCCCAGAGUCUGAAUCAGCUUGUGUGUUAGUGGAACGGUCUGGAAAGUCCGACGGUACAGGGUGAUAGUCCCGUACACCAAAAUGCACAGGCUGUGAACUCGAAGAGUAGGGCGGGACACGUGGUAUCCUGUCUGAAUAUGGGGGGACCAUCCUCCAAGGCUAAAUACUCCUGACUGACCGAUAGUGAACCAGUACC
This 471-nucleotide ribosomal RNA is filed under the name Klebsiella pneumoniae. RNAcentral's name for it is "partial 23S ribosomal RNA". It matches the Rfam family "Bacterial large subunit ribosomal RNA", at positions 1 to 502 of the family's 2925-position model. The record is from RNAcentral. Lineage: Bacteria; Pseudomonadati; Pseudomonadota; Gammaproteobacteria; Enterobacterales; Enterobacteriaceae.